CUCGUAGGCGGUUCGUCGCGUCCGGUGUGAAAGUCCAUCGCUUAACGGUGGAUCCGCGCCGGGUACGGGCGGGCUUGAGUGCGGUAGGGGAGACUGGAAUUCCCGGUGUAACGGUGGAAUGUGUAGAUAUCGGGAAGAACACCAAUGGCGAAGGCAGGUCUCUGGGCCGUCACUGACGCUGAGGAGCGAAAGCGUAGGGAGCGAACA
Molecule: ribosomal RNA, 207 nt
Filed under: uncultured bacterium
Lineage: Bacteria
Description: partial 16S ribosomal RNA
Rfam family: Bacterial small subunit ribosomal RNA
Source: RNAcentral